This 70-nucleotide transfer RNA is filed under the name Dipodomys ordii (Ord's kangaroo rat). It matches the Rfam family "tRNA". Rfam says of the family: Transfer RNA (tRNA) molecules are approximately 80 nucleotides in length. Their secondary structure includes four short double-helical elements and three loops (D, anti-codon, and T loops). The record is from Rfam by way of RNAcentral. Lineage: Eukaryota; Metazoa; Chordata; Mammalia; Rodentia; Heteromyidae.
GGUAAGGUGGCUCAGUGGUAAAGUGCUUGCCUCAGAUGCAUGAGGCACUGGGUUCAAUUCCUCAGCACCA